RNAcentral lists this ribosomal RNA (442 nucleotides) under uncultured Sedimentibacter sp. RNAcentral's name for it is "bacterial SSU rRNA". It matches the Rfam family "Bacterial small subunit ribosomal RNA", at positions 338 to 795 of the family's 1533-position model. The record is from RNAcentral. Lineage: Bacteria; Bacillati; Bacillota; Tissierellia.
CCUACGGGGGGCUGCAGUGGGGAAUAUUGCACAAUGGGGGAAACCCUGAUGCAGCGACGCCGCGUGAGUGAAGAAGGUCUUCGGAUCGUAAAACUCUGUCCUUGGUGACGAAAAAAAUGACGGUAGCCAAGGAGGAAGCCCCGGCUAACUACGUGCCAGCAGCCGCGGUAAUACGUAGGGGGCGAGCGUUGUCCGGAUUUACUGGGCGUAAAGGGUGAGUAGGCGGUUAUAUGUGUCAGAUGUAAAAGGCUAUGGCUUAACCAUAGUUGGCAUUUGAAACUGUAUGACUUGAGUGCAGGAGAGGUAAGUGGAAUUCCUAGUGUAGCGGUGAAAUGCGUAGAUAUUAGGAGGAACACCAGUGGCGAAGGCGACUUACUGGACUGUAACUGACGCUGAGUCACGAAAGCGUGGGUAGCAAACAGGAUUAGAUACCCCAGUAGUC